RNAcentral lists this transfer RNA (72 nucleotides) under Perkinsus marinus ATCC 50983. It matches the Rfam family "tRNA". From Rfam's summary of the family: Transfer RNA (tRNA) molecules are approximately 80 nucleotides in length. Their secondary structure includes four short double-helical elements and three loops (D, anti-codon, and T loops). The record is from Rfam by way of RNAcentral. Lineage: Eukaryota; Perkinsozoa; Perkinsida; Perkinsidae.
GGUCUCGUGGCCUAAUGGAUAAGACGUUGGUCUUCGGAACCGAAGUUGUGGGUUUGAGUCCCAUCGAGAUCG